GAUGAACGCUGGCGGCGUGCCUAAUACAUGCAAGUCGAGCGAACGGACGAGAAGCUUGCUUCUCUGAUGUUAGCGGCGGACGGGUGAGUAACACGUGGAUAACCUGCCUAUAAGACUUGGAUAACUUCGGGAAACCGGUGCUAAUACCGGAUAAUAUUUUGAACCGCAUGGUUCAAAAGUGAAAGACGGUCUUGCUGUCACUUAUAGAUGGAUCCGCGCUGCAUUAGCUAGUUGGUAAGGUAACGGCUUACCAAGGCAACGAUGCAUAGCCGACCUGAGAGGGUGAUCGGCCACACUGGAACUGAGACACGGUCCAGACUCCUACGGGAGGCAGCAGUAGGGAAUCUUCCGCAAUGGGCGAAAGCCUGACGGAGCAACGCCGCGUGAGUGAUGAAGGUCUUCGGAUCGUAAAACUCUGUUAUUAGGGAAGAACAUAUGUGUAAGUAACUGUGCACAUCUUGACGGUACCUAAUCAGAAAGCCACGGCUAACUACGUG
RNAcentral lists this ribosomal RNA (497 nucleotides) under uncultured bacterium. RNAcentral's name for it is "partial 16S ribosomal RNA". It matches the Rfam family "Bacterial small subunit ribosomal RNA", at positions 28 to 507 of the family's 1533-position model. The record is from RNAcentral.